UAUGUAAUCCAGGUGAGUAUUUUGGUGAGAGGUGUUCAGAAAGGACCGAGGUCAGUAAAAGAUGGCGAAGAAAGCCUUGUGUCUCAUUGCCACAAUUUCUACGAAAUGGUCGGAAAUCUGGGACUGAAAUUGGCAUCGAUCUGUUAUGGAAUCCAUUUGCCAGAAAACGGGUGGUGAGAGAUUUGCUCCAGCAGUGAACGCGUCUUCCGUCUUAAACAAAGUAAGGACAGCUUGGCAGUGACUCAACCGUGCACGAGAAGAUUGAAUACGUUCUCCAUCAAAGACGUCAGACUCGUGUUCCACAGCGGCUGCAUCCAUGUCAAGAUUACAUGUCGCUUGUCAGAGUUUGUCUGCUAGUAAAUUUGCAGGGUUGAAACUUAAUAUAAACUGUAAUUUUCACUUUGGGUUGUGAAUCGGCUGUAGUUAUUUUCAAACUAUCACAAAGUAGUGUUCAGGAAGAGUACUUGGCUACACGUACAUGUUGUAGUGGUUUAUUUCCGUGUAGGUGUGGAAACAUAAACAACAUCUUUGAAAAACCAUCGAAUUAUCGUACAAAAUUACUUUUUAAUUGUAUUUUGCUUCUUUAAACAAAAAAUGAAUAAUUGUAAUUCUCUCCGUAUAAAAAAAUUAUCCAGAAGUGUGUAGAUCAACGCUCUGUUAAAGGUUGGCCUUGUAUUGUGCCUUGUAUUUUUUUAGUUGACUUUUUGGUCGCAAUCAAAGAGUGAUUGAAGAAUAACUCCUUAUCGGAUGUCAGUCUUGCAUGUCCUGUCGAGUUAUAAUGCUGAGUGUCACUUGAUCACUGAACACCGGAGACCAGUCUUAAGUUUAUAAGCAUUGUCUUAGUAAAUGUGCAUUUGCAUAAUCUUUUUUUCCGUUCAUCUUUGCACAUUAUUCUUUAAAAUAGCUAUGGUUGAAAUAAGCUUGUAAGUUGGCCAUGUCAUUAUGACGUUUCUGAUUCGCAUGCUGUACAAAUUUCAGUUUUCGCUCAAAGUUGUGCCAUGAAAUACAUAUUUAAGCAAUUCGUAUGAAAAAAACACGUCUGUUUUGGGCAUGACAAUAUUUAUCGAUGAACUAAACAACCAGGAAUCUUACUAAAUUUUAUUAUUUUAUCUACUUUUUUUUUGUUUUGUGAACAUCAGCAAGACGACAUAGUGCUUGCAUGUGGGUACAUGCGUCGGGAUAGGAUGAGGUUAUAUGCAUAUUGAAUUUUCUAUACCGUUCACACCAGUGAAUUUAGACAAACAUUUUUUGGUAAUGUUUUGGUUUUUUUUUUAUUUAUUUAUUUUAUUAAUCUUGUUGGUAUUAUGUCUAUAAUAAUAUUCCUGAACUCCUUUAUAAAUAAAAAAGCUACGCCGGCGAAGUAGAAAUUUUCAAAAUGCAUAGAAUCUUGACACGUUUUAGUUAGAUAGAGAACCAUUUUUGUUUGUGUGUAAAAGCUUAAUUCACAUUUCAUAGUACGUUUUAUGAAAUUGACAUUAAGAAGAAA
RNAcentral lists this long non-coding RNA (1486 nucleotides) under Lingula anatina. RNAcentral describes it as "uncharacterized LOC106175657, transcript variant X3". The record is from RNAcentral. Lineage: Eukaryota; Metazoa; Brachiopoda; Lingulata; Lingulida; Lingulidae.